Molecule: long non-coding RNA, 1352 nt
Organism: Lolium rigidum
Lineage: Eukaryota; Viridiplantae; Streptophyta; Magnoliopsida; Poales; Poaceae
Exons: 4
Source: RefSeq, a predicted model, not a curated record
UUCAUACGUGAAGAUGUUUUUCCUUAAACGUCAACCUAUUAUCUUUAUUUUCAUAGGUUAGUAAUAUAAUCUUUUGAUGAAUUUAGUCCAAGUAUAACAUGAAGUAACAAUGUUCAGAAUCUAUUUGAGCACUUGGUGGUGGUACCAUCAUGCAAAUCUACAGUUUCUGUCUAAUUGGAUUUGUGAGUCAGAAAUCACUUAAAUGAGAAAAAUGUGCAGCUCUAUACAAUGCUAUUACUAAAAUAGCAUAAUGUAUACGUGAUCUCACAUAAGUUAUAAUGAAAGUGCGAGAAACUUCAGGCUAAACCAAAUUUAAAUGUGGUUCUUUAUUAAAACUCACUAUAGAUAAAUUUAGGUAAUCUCACGAAAAAGCACAACUGUAUUCUUAUGCCUUGUUUCAAGACAACCACAUUGGAGAUUUGUUUUUAAUUUCGUGUCAACAUGACAUAAAGUCAUGCAUCCAGUUGUGCUCUGCGGAGUAAUAAGUCUUGAUAGAUCAUAUUAAUGGAAGUGAUGUCAAAUGAUUAUAUUGGACUAGAUUAGGUGUUUAUGCCAUGCAUACCAGAACAAAAAAAGAAUUACGGUUAUUUCUUAUUUGUGCUAUGGGCUGCUGAUAGCUAGAGCAGAGAUCUUACAAGCUGGUGUCAAUGGUUACAACAACUGCAUAUUCGAUCAGGAAUUCAGGGCUGAUGUAGUGAAAGCUCUUAAAGAGAACGGAGCGUGCACUCACAUGAAAUGUUCCUUCGGUAGAACUUCGAAUGGUGGUGAUGGUGAUGGGAAGGAGAAUCUAUUUGCAUCGUUUUUCUUUGACAGGGCAGCUGAGCGCAGCCUUUGGUCACAUCACCUCCCUACUACUGUGUAAUGCUCCCGUCCUUCUACACCUUUAUGUGGUUGGUUAAGCGGUGUUUCUACAGCUAAGAAAAUACAUCUCAAGCAUUGAGCAUUGCCGACGAGGACCAAGCCACUACAUGGGAUGCACUUGAUCUGCCAGCUUUCUCUAUGCAUUGGAACUCCUAGCCUUGUCUGAAUAUUCAGAGCAACAAAACGGCCUUCUUCUCACCUGACAUAUCAUUCCAAGCUAUCUCCCAAGGUUAUUAUUAUUAGUAGGCAAAUUGUAUUGCGGAUACCACGUCAUGUCCUUGGAAAAUGUGCAUGGAUUGAUCGGAGAAGCUUGGGCUCAUUCCAAAAGGCGGAAUAUCUCGAGACUGUCAAUUUCUUCAUGUCUUUUCCAUGUUCACUUCAGAAGAUCAAUUGUGAUAUUUUGGUUCAUAUUUAUUUAUCAUUGUGUGCCUCAAAUACAGACUCAUAAACGUUUUGUACAGAUACAUAAGUGGGUUAUAACUGAUUGUUCA